UGAACGGAAUUACUAUACCCAUUCUACUGAUAGUACCUUCAUUUACAGGAUUGGUCAGAAGUAGCCCAUCAGUCACAGCAUCUAGGCAAACAGUACAGUCUGUUGGAGUGACAGAGACAUCUGGUCCAUUAGGGACAAUUUCACCAUCUGCUGGAGUUACAGAAAGGAUCACGCUCUCACCUGGAGUGACAGAGCUAACUGGUGCAUCAUCUGAAGGAACAGGGACAACUGCAUCAUCAGCUGGUACCACCUAUGAGGCAGGAAGAACUACAAGAGAACCAGAAAGCACAACUAAAGAGCCAUAUGGAUCCACCACUGGAGCAGAAAGCAGAACCACAGGAACCACACCUGGAAAAUCAGGUACAACUGGAGUGUUGGCUACAGCUUCUACAGGUGUGAGGGGCAGAAGCACUCCUUUCACAUCAGGUUCCACAGAAAAUUUCCCUCACUCAACAAUUGCACUAGGAAGUACCACUAUUGGUAAGUCAGUAGGGGAUGUCAGAUGUAAUUUUUUUUUUUUACUUGUUUUCAUGCUCAUUGGCUAAUUCAAAUUAGUUAAAUAACCUAUGGCCUUGAUGACAUUACCUCAUUUAAUUCUUUGAAUAUAAAUUGUUACCUAAUUUUUCUCAUGAGGAACUUACCAAAGACAUCGCCUAAUUUGGUUUAGGUUCUACAGCAAGUAAAAUGGUGGAACAAUAGUUUCACUUCUGUACUAACUCCAAAGACUGGGCUUUUCAGUGUGAUACCAUCAUCC
Molecule: long non-coding RNA, 754 nt
Filed under: Ictidomys tridecemlineatus (thirteen-lined ground squirrel)
Lineage: Eukaryota; Metazoa; Chordata; Mammalia; Rodentia; Sciuridae
Description: lncRNA (ENSSTOG00000032643.1)
Source: RNAcentral